GGCCAACCACAGUUUUAUCAAGGGUAAACGGAAUCUUCCCCCUUUACCCUCAAUCCCUCCUCCCCCCCUACCCUCCUGUCCACCACCUGGAGUCUGUAGAAGGGCAACCGGAAGAGUUCGAGACUCCAUUAACAGGAAGUCUUACGAGUUUGAAGAUCUUCUACAGUCUGCAGCAGAAGGAUGUCGAACAGAUUUGUACGAGCUUUCUAAGCUU
This 214-nucleotide long non-coding RNA is filed under the name Danio rerio (zebrafish). Its description in RNAcentral is "lncRNA si:dkey-82f1.1 (ENSDARG00000096850.3)". Lineage: Eukaryota; Metazoa; Chordata; Actinopteri; Cypriniformes; Danionidae. The record is from RNAcentral.